AGAGUGAACGCUGGCGGUAGGCCUAACACAUGCAAGUCGAACGGCAGCACAGUAGGAGCUUGCUCUUACGGGUGGCGAGUGGCGGACGGGUGAGGAAUACAUCGGAAUCUACCUUUUGGUGGGGGAUAACGUAGGGAAACUUACGCUAAUACCGCAUACGCCCUUCGGGGGAAAGCCGGGGACCAGCAAUGGCCUGGCGCUGAUAGAUGAGCCGAUGUCGGAUUAGCUAGUUGGUGAGGUAAUGGCUCACCAAGGCGACGAUCCGUAGCUGGUCUGAGAGGAUGAUCAGCCACACGUGGAACUGAGACACGGUCCAGACCUCGUACGGGAGGCAGCGAGUGGGAACUAGUAGGACAAGUGGACG
RNAcentral lists this ribosomal RNA (364 nucleotides) under uncultured soil bacterium. Its description in RNAcentral is "bacterial SSU rRNA". It matches the Rfam family "Bacterial small subunit ribosomal RNA", at positions 26 to 377 of the family's 1533-position model. The record is from RNAcentral.